Molecule: non-coding RNA, 592 nt
Organism: Paramuricea clavata
Lineage: Eukaryota; Metazoa; Cnidaria; Anthozoa; Malacalcyonacea; Plexauridae
Source: the annotation of a GenBank genome assembly
GUAAACAUUGGAAGUCAGUUUUGAAAAGCAAAUCGAAAUCGAGAGUAAUACAACUAGAAAUACAUGCAUGCAACAACCCCUCGCCUAUAUUUUCCAAACAUUGUUUCAACAUGAAGUAUUCGUAAUUUCGCCAACACUGAACGCAGGCACAGAAUAAAGACAUACAGAAGUGCAACUUCCAUUACAAAACCGUAAGGCGCUUUUUACCGAAAUAGCUGGCGGCCAUGUUCUUAGCAAGUGCCCUAAAGAGAGGCAUUCACCCCCCUGGAAUAUUAAAUUUUCAAUAUGUUUUCAGGGGGUGACUGCCUCUCUUUAGGGCACUUGCUAAGAACAUGGCGGACUGAAAAAAUCCCUUACGCACUUUUAAUAAGAAGAUACACUUCUGUAUGUCUUUAUUCUGUGACGCAGGCUCGUGUUGCCACGUCAUGUUAGUCAUGGGAGCACGAUAAUUGUUUUUUAAUUUUUUGUACAAACUGGGAAAAAAUAGAUGAAAUUUGAACACUUUUAAAUACAGAACUAUCAAUUUGUAAAAUAUAUAAAGUAGGUAUAAUAUUUUGGUUUCUAUGGGGUUGAUUUUAAUGUGAAAUUCAGA